UACGGAGGGGGCGAGCGUUAUUCGGAAUUAUUGGGCGUAAAGGGCGCGUAGGCGGCGCGAUAAGUCAAAGGUGAAAUCCCUCGGCUCAACUGAGGAACUGCCUUUGAGACUGUCGAGCUUGAGGCCGGGAGGGGGUAGCGGAAUUCCCAGUGUAGCGGUGAAAUGCGUAGAUAUUGGGAGGAACACCAGUGGCGAAGGCGGCUACCUGGACCGGUUCUGACGCUGAUGCGCGAAAGCGUGGGGAGCGAACAGG
This 253-nucleotide ribosomal RNA is filed under the name uncultured bacterium. Its description in RNAcentral is "partial 16S ribosomal RNA". It matches the Rfam family "Bacterial small subunit ribosomal RNA", at positions 524 to 776 of the family's 1533-position model. The record is from RNAcentral.